CUCCUCUCUUAGACAUCUGCAGAUUUGCUUGUCAGUGUUUUUAGUUCUUGUCAUCCCUGUUAUCCUACAGAACUGUGGUAAAAUGCCACAAGGUUGCAUUUUUUCUUGAGCCAGUAACACCAAGCCCCCAGGCGUCUGCACAGGGACUGGUCCAUAAAGAGGCCUUACAUACAGUGCUGCCUGCGGGGCUCACAGCCCCUGAGAGGGAGGCAGAGGGCUCCCAUCUCCACCUCUCAUUGACUGGACAUGGCCGGAAGCAAGCCGGUCACACUGCACAGAUUCCUCUGCUGGGAAGGAGGCUCCCUCAGCUGUGUCUGACUCUAAGUAGCAGCCGGGGCCCUUGGUCAUACAGCUGCAAGAAAAUGAAUCUGCCAACAACCUGAACGCGCUCGGACAUGAAUUCUCCCCGCCAUCUCUUCAGAUGAGAAGACAGCCUGCCUGCCACUAAACCGUAGUCUUAUGAGGCCCUGAGUAUUGGUCCCAGUGAAGCUACCCCUGAAUUCCUCAACCAUGAAAACUGAAGUAAUCAAUGUGUUGUUUUAAGUCACUAAAUUUGUGGUCCUUUGUGACACUGCAAUAGAAAAUAAAUAAAGUGGGAAGGAAGGCUCUCUACUUCUCUCUUUCCAAACUGCAGAGCUUCAGUUUUAAAGGUGGGAUAAUAAAUAAGUCAC
Molecule: long non-coding RNA, 671 nt
Filed under: Homo sapiens (human)
Lineage: Eukaryota; Metazoa; Chordata; Mammalia; Primates; Hominidae
Description: HSALNT0169265
Source: RNAcentral